UACGUAGGGGGCAAGCGUUGUCCAGAUUCAUUGGGCGUAAAGAGCGUGUAGGCGGCCAGGUAGGUCGGUUGUGAAAACUGGAGGCUCAACCUUCAGAGGUCGACCGAAACCAUCUGGCUAGAGUCCGGGAGAGGAGAGUGGAAUUCCUGGUGUAGCGGUGAAAUGCGCAGAUAUCAGGAAGAACACCCGUGGCGAAAGCGGCUCUCUGGAACGGUACUGACGCUGAGACGCGAAAGCGUGGGGAGCAAACAGG
This 253-nucleotide ribosomal RNA is filed under the name uncultured bacterium. RNAcentral describes it as "partial 16S ribosomal RNA". It matches the Rfam family "Bacterial small subunit ribosomal RNA", at positions 524 to 776 of the family's 1533-position model. The record is from RNAcentral.